CACACCGCCCGUCACACCAUGGGAGUUGGUUUCACCCGAAGGCAGUGCGCUAACCGCAAGGAGGCAGCUGACCACGGUGGGAUCAGCGACCGGGGUG
RNAcentral lists this ribosomal RNA (97 nucleotides) under uncultured bacterium. RNAcentral describes it as "partial 16S ribosomal RNA". It matches the Rfam family "Bacterial small subunit ribosomal RNA", at positions 1386 to 1482 of the family's 1533-position model. The record is from RNAcentral.